Molecule: long non-coding RNA, 1258 nt
Organism: Daktulosphaira vitifoliae (grape phylloxera)
Lineage: Eukaryota; Metazoa; Arthropoda; Insecta; Hemiptera; Phylloxeridae
Exons: 3
Source: RefSeq, a predicted model, not a curated record
AAUGCGCUUUCCAUAAGUUUUUGGUAAUACGUUUUUCAGUUAAUCAAACUAAAAGAAAAGUAAAUUUUUACAUAAUCAUUAGAUAAUUUUUCUAAAAAAAAGUUGAUCAGAAAUAAUUGCAAUCUAAUAUUUCUGUGUAAAACAAAAAUUAUUCCAUAAAUAUUUUCUAGAAUUACAACAUAUACUGAGGCAAAUCCUAAAGUGAUUUUCCCCGUGUACAUACAGACCACAGUCGUUAUUACAUCGGGUGGCGCUUGAACGUGCUAAUCCAAAAUACACGAUCCGUCUUCAGCGGUUGAUAGCUGUGCAAAAAAUGUGUUGUUCAACGUAAUAUUCACAGUUUCAUUAAAAGAAUAAUCCUCAUGAUGGUUAUCUUAUGGCGCUAUUAUUUCAAAAGUAACGUUUGGUGCUGGCCGAGAAAUGGACGUGUAAAGACAUAACUACUGUUACACAGAGUCGUUUCGAAUUUCGCGUGUGUGAUCGCUACAGUUAACAUAAAGGACACGUUACAUGAGCAUUUAUUUUUUAAUAUAAAUUGAAGUUGACAGCUUUGGAAACAAUAUUAAAGAUAUUACUUUGGUAGUAAACACAGUGUAAAUUUAUUUCUGCUGAAACAGACUGAACGUGUCAAAUGAUAUUUAAAAAAACUCAAGUUUCGUACGCUGUUCAAUGUACACGAACGCCUAGACGUUGUAUUUCUAUAAUAUUUUCGAGAUAAUUUCAAUGAAAGUUAAAUUAUCAACUAAAUGGCAAUGCAAUAGAUUUCUAAUGCAUACAUGAGAGAAUUGUUGAGCGUUGGUAUGUUUACCAAGUAUUAAGAUUGAAAUCGAGUAGCGAACACUAUUUGAACUGUUAGCAAUAUUUUUUAUUUUACAACUACCGAAAGUGGAAAUAGUGCGAUUUUUCACGGAUACGUGGCAUGAGUACAAAAUUGUAGAUACUCUCCGAAUAUAGCGAGCUAGGUCCACGAAAUGGUAAAGAAUUUUCAACUGUCGGAAAAACAAAGUAUGACCUAGUUGUUUACUCUUAUCCGGUAUAACGUGAGUGAAAUAAUUAUUCGAUUUCAACUCCAUUCUAGUGCAUAUAACCAUGUUUAUUCUUUUCUAAUUUAAAACUAACGAAACGAUAAGUGUUCAAUGGAUUACAUUAAAACUUUCCGGAAAGUUCUGUACAAAACUCUGGUAUUGUUAUAAAUAAAUGUAUCCAUAUGAUUAAACGUAUUGAAUAAAAUAUAUUUAACGACGAAUUGAACGUUUUU